Molecule: long non-coding RNA, 316 nt
Filed under: Oryza brachyantha (malo sina)
Lineage: Eukaryota; Viridiplantae; Streptophyta; Magnoliopsida; Poales; Poaceae
Description: long non-coding RNA (OBRA_LNC003484)
Source: RNAcentral
GCGAGAUGCUGGGACACUGAGAUAGAUGGAUGGGUCUAGUUGCAUGCUUCUUAGUAUUUGUUGACCUUUUGCUAUGUUAGAAAAAAAGUAAUCGGGUAUAAUGGAACCUCGUUAACAUGUUAGGCACAAAGUAGUUACUUUUGGUUAAGAUUAGAGUAGAUGUAGACGUUCUUAUAUACUAUAUUGGGACCUUGUGAUUGCUUUUGGAUAUCAGUAGAACUAUGAUUAUGAACUGAUGACGCAGAAGCAUGCUCUUUCUGCUUAUAUUAUAAAUAUGUUGUGAAUUUAUCUUCAAUGGUUUAUUGUUUAUCGGUAC